UCUUGCCUCUACACCAACCUCACCUCAC
This 28-nucleotide non-coding RNA is filed under the name Mus musculus (house mouse). Lineage: Eukaryota; Metazoa; Chordata; Mammalia; Rodentia; Muridae. The record is from RNAcentral.